RNAcentral lists this unclassified non-coding RNA (344 nucleotides) under soil metagenome. RNAcentral's name for it is "partial contains 5.8S ribosomal RNA, internal transcribed spacer 2, and large subunit ribosomal RNA". The stretch from base 1 to 120 matches the Rfam family "5.8S ribosomal RNA", at positions 35 to 154 of the family's 154-position model. The record is from RNAcentral.
GAUGAAGAACGCAGCGAAAUGCGAUACGUAAUGUGAAUUGCAGAAUUCAGUGAAUCAUCGAGUCUUUGAACGCACAUUGCGCCCCCUGGUAUUCCGGGGGGCAUGCCUGUCCGAGCGUCAUUGCUGCCCUCAAGCACGGCUUGUGUGUUGGGCCUCCGUCCUCCUCCCGGGGGACGGGCCCGAAAGGUAGCGGCGGCACCGCGUCCGGUCCUCGAGCGUAUGGGGCUUCGUCACCCGCUCUUGUAGGCCCGGCCGGCGCUUGCCGACACAUCAAUCUUUUUUCCAGGUUGACCUCGGAUCAGGUAGGGAUACCCGCUGAACUUAAGCAUAUCAAAAGCGGAGGA